ACAUGUAAAUGCUAUACAUUGGUGCAAC
RNAcentral lists this small RNA (28 nucleotides) under Bombyx mori (domestic silkworm). RNAcentral describes it as "ovarian small RNA-11177". The record is from RNAcentral. Lineage: Eukaryota; Metazoa; Arthropoda; Insecta; Lepidoptera; Bombycidae.